This 253-nucleotide ribosomal RNA is filed under the name uncultured bacterium. RNAcentral's name for it is "partial 16S ribosomal RNA". It matches the Rfam family "Bacterial small subunit ribosomal RNA", at positions 524 to 776 of the family's 1533-position model. The record is from RNAcentral.
UACGAAGGGGGCUAGCGUUGCUCGGAAUCACUGGGCGUAAAGCGCACGUAGGCGGCUUCUUAAGUCAGGGGUGAAAUCCCAGAGCUCAACUCUGGAACUGCCUUUGAUACUGGGUGUCUUGAGUAUGGAAGAGGUGAGUGGAAUUCCGAGUGUAGAGGUGAAAUUCGUAGAUAUUCGGAGGAACACCAGUGGCGAAGGCGGCUCACUGGUCCAUUACUGACGCUGAGGUGCGAAAGCGUGGGGAGCAAACAGG